Non-coding RNA from Schistocerca americana (American grasshopper), 73 nucleotides. The record is from the annotation of a RefSeq genome assembly. NCBI's taxonomy places the organism in Eukaryota, Metazoa, Arthropoda, Insecta, Orthoptera, Acrididae.
GCUAUGGUAGUGCAGUGGUUAGCAUUUCUGCCUCGCAAGUCAGAAGACCCGGGUUCGAGUCCCGGCCGCAACA